CCUACGGGAGGCAGCAGUGGGGAAUCUUGCACAAUGGGCGAAAGCCUGAUGCAGCGACGCCGCGUGCGGGAUGAAGGCCUUCGGGUUGUAAACCGCUUUCAGCAGGGACGAGGCGAAAGUGACGGUACCUGCAGAAGAAGCCCCGGCUAACUACGUGCCAGCAGCCGCGGUAAUACGUAGGGGGCAAGCGUUAUCCGGAUUCAUUGGGCGUAAAGCGCGCGUAGGCUGCCCAGUAGGUCGAGAGUUAAAUCCGGGGGCUCAACCCCCGUCCGCUCCCGAUACCGCUGGGCUUCGAGUCUGGUAGGGGAAGGUGGAAUUCCCAGUGUAGCGGUGGAAUGCGCAGAUAUUGGGAAGAACACCGGUGGCGAAGGCGGCCUUCUGGGCCAUGACUGACGCUGAGGCGCGAAAGCUAGGGGAGCGAACAGGAUUAGAUACCCCAGUAGUC
RNAcentral lists this ribosomal RNA (445 nucleotides) under uncultured Coriobacteriaceae bacterium. Its description in RNAcentral is "bacterial SSU rRNA". It matches the Rfam family "Bacterial small subunit ribosomal RNA", at positions 338 to 795 of the family's 1533-position model. The record is from RNAcentral. Lineage: Bacteria; Bacillati; Actinomycetota; Coriobacteriia; Coriobacteriales; Coriobacteriaceae.